CUCUUGCUAUAAAAUUUGAUGAACAAAAAGACAUUGACUUAAAAUAAUAAUUAAUUUAUUAAGAUAAAUUAAGAGUAUUCCUAGAAUUAUUAUAAACCAUUUACAAUAUUAAUGAUGAAGAAUUGAUCUCAUAUAAUAUGAAAUCAAGCUAUCGUGAACAUUUCAGUGAAAUAUAUAUAAACCAGUUUGUUAACUUGGUCAUCGGUUAGGCGAUUGCGGUAUUUACCGUGGAUAUUCCCCAUCACACACUAUUCGCUGAUGUUGGAACAUUUAAUAAACAAACUGUCAAAUUUUGAAGGAGGAGCACACUAUUCCCAUUACAUUUACACCAAGUUACACCGUCAACGUGUUGCGCUACCUCCCAUAAGCUUAAGCUAAAACCUAUCCAGUUUUUGAUCUAUAUUGAAAAUAUCUUUAUAACUGUUAUUUGAAUACUGGCAAUCUGAUUUCCAAUUUCUUUUGGAUCUAGAAGAUAUGUAAAAAGUAUGGUAUUGCUAACCUUGUAGCGCGCUCCUUUUUUUAGAUGCUAAUUUUUAAAAAUAUAAUGAAUGUAAUUAACAUUAAUAGUUAAAAUAGCUCAAUUAAACACAUAUACAUUCAACAUGUAUAUUUUCUUCCUACACUAUUUCACAUAUUGAUAUUUAUCGUACAAUCUAAUUUCCCGCACUAGAUAACUAAAUCGCGCGUGAUUACUUUAAAUUCACCGCUCCCUUAAUUAUUUAUUAACACUAUUUAUGUUUUUCACACUAAUAUAUUUCGCGCGUGAUCUCUUUCAUCGCUCCCCAUCAGGGGUUCGAACCGAACCGCAAAACCAGAAUGAACCGUUAUGAUUUUCUGAACCGUAACCUUAACCGAACCGUUAUGAAGAAAAUAUUAAAAGAGCGAACCGAACCGUUAUAAAUAUUUAACCGGUUCAAAACGCUUUUAAAAAUAAUUAAUUUUAAAUUAUUAACCUAAAUUUAAAAUUUUAAUUUUCCUUGGGGGCAUUUUUUA
Gordionus sp. m RMFG-2023 is the source of this 993-nucleotide long non-coding RNA. RefSeq lists it as uncharacterized. The record is from RefSeq and is a predicted model, not a curated record. The transcript has 3 exons. Lineage: Eukaryota; Metazoa; Nematomorpha; Gordioida; Chordodea; Parachordodidae.